RNAcentral lists this non-coding RNA (24 nucleotides) under Arabidopsis thaliana (thale cress). The record is from RNAcentral. Lineage: Eukaryota; Viridiplantae; Streptophyta; Magnoliopsida; Brassicales; Brassicaceae.
UAAAUGCAUUGUGGUGACAUAUAU